UUUAACACAUCUCUUUUGAGAGUGUAUUGACCUACAGUCAUUUUAACAUUACUGUACAGACAUGGAAAGUAAAUGGGAUCAGGUGCAUGCCCUCCUGACAGAAGGCACAUACCCCUCGGGGUAUGGAAAAAGUCAGAGGCAAAACCUGAGGAGAUAUGCCUCCAAAUUCAGAGUAAGGGGUUAGUAUCACAAGUCUAUGAUGCAUGUUAUUUAGAAUACUGUAUGUGGCGAUAACGCAUUAUUAAAGUAAUGUAUCAUUAACAGAAAAAGAUCUCUGGUUUGGUAGUAAGAAGGUGGUGAAAAAGAGGGAGGAAGCCAGGAGACUUUUCAUGGAGUUCCAUUCCUCCCCCAUGGGAGGUCAUACUGGCAUCCUUAAAACAUGGGCAGCAAUCUCUUCCAGGUUCUACUGGACCGGGAUGUCUGUAUACAUAAAAAAUUGGAUCUUAGAAUGUGACAGAUGCCAAAAGGUUGGAAAACCACUGACUGCAGUGGGGGAGUUGCAGCCGAUAAAGGUCUCUGGCGUGUGGGAUUUGAUUGGGAUCGACCUUACUGGACCACUUCCCAAAACUGUCAAUGGCUUUCAAUACAUUUUGACAGCUACUGAUUUUUUUUCCAAGUGGGUGGAAGCUUUUCCACUCAAGUCCAAAUCAGCUGCAGAAGUUGCAAGAUUUAUUCACGUUUUCAUAAAGUUAAUAAAUAUAUUUUGCCACACUUUUUCUUUGUAUUUGUUUUAAUGAAGGAACUCUGGGCGGCUAAAGACCGCGGCAAAGUUGAAGUAGUUGUUGGACCAUAUUCACUGUACUGUAAUAAUUUGCUACCACCCUGAACACAGAGGAAGCAGAUA
Long non-coding RNA from Neoarius graeffei (lesser salmon catfish), 844 nucleotides. RefSeq lists it as uncharacterized. The record is from RefSeq and is a predicted model, not a curated record. The transcript has 3 exons. NCBI's taxonomy places the organism in Eukaryota, Metazoa, Chordata, Actinopteri, Siluriformes, Ariidae.